GCUUACUUCGAUAGGACAUAUACUACAAUUGGAAUGGUACAGAGAAGAUUAGCAUGGCCCCUGAGCAAGGAUGACAUGCAAGUUCGUGAAGCAUUUCAUACUUAA
Cynocephalus volans (Philippine flying lemur) is the source of this 105-nucleotide small nuclear RNA. Lineage: Eukaryota; Metazoa; Chordata; Mammalia; Dermoptera; Cynocephalidae. The record is from RefSeq and is a predicted model, not a curated record.